UGUACGUACGUCCAAAACUAAAACCGCAACUGUGAUCAUUUUUCACGCGGCUGUGGUAUUCAACUGGACUACAUUAAAAUCCAUGAUAUACUAUUCCUCUAAAGGAUAUCGGCUUGAAGAUAUGAACCUUUAUAAAGUCAAAAAUCAACAAGAGCAAAUA
Scaptodrosophila lebanonensis is the source of this 160-nucleotide small nucleolar RNA. Lineage: Eukaryota; Metazoa; Arthropoda; Insecta; Diptera; Drosophilidae. The record is from RefSeq and is a predicted model, not a curated record.